RNAcentral lists this ribosomal RNA (491 nucleotides) under uncultured bacterium. Its description in RNAcentral is "partial 16S ribosomal RNA". It matches the Rfam family "Bacterial small subunit ribosomal RNA", at positions 29 to 506 of the family's 1533-position model. The record is from RNAcentral.
AGUGAACGCUGGCGGUAGGCCUAACACAUGCAAGUCGAACGGCAGCACAGUAAGAGCUUGCUCUUACGGGUGGCGAGUGGCGGACGGGUGAGGAAUACAUCGGAAUCUACUUUUUCGUGGGGGAUAACGGAGGGAAACUUACGCUAAUACCGCAUACGACCUACGGGUGAAAGCAGGGGAUCUUCGGACCUUGCGCGAUUGAAUGAGCCGAUGUCGGAUUAGCUAGUUGGCGGGGUAAAGGCCCACCAAGGCGACGAUCCGUAGCUGGUCUGAGAGGAUGGUCAGCCACACUGGAACUGAGACACGGUCCAGACUCCUACGGGAGGCAGCAGUGGGGAAUAUUGGACAAUGGGCGCAAGCCUGAUCCAGCCAUACCGCGUGGGUGAAGAAGGCCUUCGGGUUGUAAAGCCCUUUUGUUGGGAAAGAAAAGCAGCAGGUUAAUACCCCGCUGUUCUGACGGUACCCAAAGAAUAAGCACCGGCUAACUUCGU